AUUGAACGCUGGCGGCAUGCCUUACACAUGCAAGUCGAACGGCAGCGGACCUUCGGGUGCCGGCGAGUGGCGAACGGGUGAGUAAUGCAUCGGAACGUGCCAUUGAGUGGGGGAUAACGUAGCGAAAGUUGCGCUAAUACCGCAUAUUCUGUGCGCAGGAAAGCAGGGGACCGCAAGGCCUUGCGCUCUUUGAGCGGCCGAUGUCAGAUUAGCUAGUUGGUGAGGUAACGGCUUACCAAGGCGACGAUCUGUAGCGGGUCUGAGAGGAUGAUCCGCCACACUGGAACUGAGACACGGUCCAGACUCCUACGGGAGGCAGCAGUGAGGAAUAUUGCGCAAUGGGGGCAACCCUGACGCAGCAACGCCGCGUGAGUGAGGAAGGUUUUCGGACCGUAAAGCUCUGUCGAGUGGGAAGAAAUGUAUUGUGGCUAAUAUCCAUGAUAUUUGACGGU
This 452-nucleotide ribosomal RNA is filed under the name uncultured bacterium. RNAcentral describes it as "bacterial SSU rRNA". It matches the Rfam family "Bacterial small subunit ribosomal RNA", at positions 30 to 476 of the family's 1533-position model. The record is from RNAcentral.